AUGGGGUACCCCGCGUUUGGGGAGGGCAGAAUGCCUGUCAGAGGGUCUGACAUCCUGCUGGAUGGACAUCCUGCUGCUCUGACAUGCAGCUGGGGGAUGCAGGAGCAGAGCAUCCCGCUGCAGCGGGACACCACGGGCUGGGAGUGCAGGAGAACGCGAGCACUGCAGCAUCCCGGUGCCCAGGAGAUGUGCUGGGGCAUCCCGGUGCCCGGGGGAUGUGCUGGGGCAUCCCGGUGCCCGGGGGAUGUGCUGGGGCAUCCCGGUGCCCGGGGGAUGUGCUGGGGCAUCCCGGUGCCCGGGGGCAGCCCAUGCUCAGGGGAGACGAGAAGCGCAGCCGCGGGGGAUACACUCCCCAGUCUCCGCCAGCUGCCUGUCCCGGUGCCCCUCGUUCCCCGGUGCCCCCCGUUCCCCGGUGCCCCCCGUUCCCCGGNCCCCCUUUCAGACCCGUCCCGUCCCUUCCCCCGUGUUUCCCGUUCGUGCCCCGCGGCCCCGGGGCUGCGCUCACCCCCCCGGGGGAUCCCAUUGCGCGGUGCACAGCCGGUGUGUCCCCCUCCCGCGGGGCCGUGUCAUCCCCGCGCCUCACCGAGGGUUCCCGGGGCGGGGGGGGGUCUCCUCUGCCGAUGUUUCACGGUGUCACCUUUCUCCGGGAGUGUCCCCUGUCCCUUUUGCCGGUGCUUGGGGGUGUCACCUCCCUUUGGGAUGUCCCGUGUUCCGUUGUUUAGGGGUGUCCCCGUGCUUGGGGGUGUCCCCUGUGCCGGUGUUCACCCCUCCGGGGGUGUCCCCUGCCCCGAGGGAGCCGCAGUGGCUGCCGAAGCCUGUGGGUACACACGCAAACCUGGAGUUCCAAGGGGCGUGUGGGGGAAGUUGUGUUGUUUCCUGCAUCCCAACGGGAUACCUGCUGCCUCCAGUGCCGGCUUAUGGGAGAAAAUACAGGGAUUCCCACUAGCUGUGAAGCAAAGCUUGCUGUCCCUUUGUUGUUGUUUGUUUUUUUUCUUACAACAGCCCCUUCUGCAUAUUCCUUAG
RNAcentral lists this long non-coding RNA (1023 nucleotides) under Cyanistes caeruleus (blue tit). Its description in RNAcentral is "lncRNA (ENSCCEG00000007491.1)". The record is from RNAcentral. Lineage: Eukaryota; Metazoa; Chordata; Aves; Passeriformes; Paridae.